ACAGGGGUAUUUAUAAAUGCUUUCUCUCUCCUCUGCCGCAGACUGCUGUAUGGAAUGUCCGGUGUGCAAAGAGGACUUGGCAGUGGGAGAGCCAGUCAGACAGCUACCCUGUAACCACUUCUUUCAUUCAGACUGUAUAGUACCGUGGCUGGAAAUGCAUGACACAUGUCCAGUGUGUAGGAAGAGUUUGAACGGAGAAGACAGCAGCAGCCAGCCCCCAUCAGAGUCCCCCACCCUGUCUAUGGACCCCCGCACACAGGAGAGAUGGUCCUUCUGAUACCCCCCCACCCGUCUGAGCCCUUAGUUCCCCUUGCCCACAUCCACCACACGAGAAGACACAGCGCUUCUCACUCGCCUCCUUUCAUCUCCGUUGCAGUUAUAAUCAUCUCAGUCGGAUUUUUGUACUUUUAUUUUCUAUUUGAAUGCCUUUCUCCUCAACCAUGUAUACAGAUUUCCAUACAGACGUCUUAACGGUCGGUCGAGGUCAAGGAGACUCUUUUUGUUGUCGCAUAAGAAACCAGCCUAGAUUGAUGGUGAUGAUCAAGCCCAUGUCUUCUCUACUUCCAUCCCUCAAGCAACCUCCUUUUCCAUCUUUCUUAAAAUGCACUGCUGCGUUACACUAUUGUGGGGAAAUGCCAUACUUUAUAUCAUAUACCACGCCCUCUUUACUGAAAAUGAGCUAAGUCCUGCAACUGAGCCCUGGACGGCAUACGGGAGUACUGUAGGGUUUACCUUCACUCUUUGUAUUUACAGAGUCUGGACUUAAUAACACCUGUAGUCCUGCAAUAAACCCUAUGUCUAAGAUCAAUGAUGCAUUCCUGUUGAGAUUUUCUCAGGAAGAACCUGAUUAACUCUUGUUCUAUUGUUUAUUCUAAAGAGGUCCACGUUAUUGCGUCCAUCCUCUGUAACGUACUUUAAGAACAGGACACAAAGUAUUUUAUAGACAUCAGUUUGAGUCGCUGCUGUAAAAUGGCCUCAAAUAAAGCUGUGACUUCAAAUGAAAGUCACAGCUUUCUGGGAACACAUCAAACACCAUACCUGUAAGGGAAUGAAAACCGCCCUUUAUUGAAUGAUUAGGAUUGAAACAUUCUCCUCCGAGUGUAUAUAUUAUAAACAAAUGGCAUCCCUCUGUUUUAUUCCUCUGUCUUUUGUUUCAAUUUUUUUUUAUCACUUUUUUUGAUGUAAAUAAUUUUAGUCCAAGUUAUGGUUUGCAAAAGGAAAAAAAAAUGGAGACACAAAUGUGAAAUACCUGGUUAUCGAACUGUAUAUUAUAUAUAUGAAAAAUGUCUAUGAUGUAUUAAUAAAUUGACCAAAAAGA
Molecule: long non-coding RNA, 1318 nt
Organism: Notothenia coriiceps (black rockcod)
Lineage: Eukaryota; Metazoa; Chordata; Actinopteri; Perciformes; Nototheniidae
Exons: 2
Source: RefSeq, a predicted model, not a curated record